Molecule: long non-coding RNA, 541 nt
Organism: Daphnia carinata
Lineage: Eukaryota; Metazoa; Arthropoda; Branchiopoda; Diplostraca; Daphniidae
Exons: 3
Source: RefSeq, a predicted model, not a curated record
AAAUUGGAACGGAACAGUUUCCAAACAUUGAAGGAGGUUUUUCCAAACUCAUCCCUAACUGAACAUGAGGAUGAAUUGGCAUUAGGUGAACACAGUCAGUUAUUCAGUCUACCACCUGACAGUGUGUUAAAGUUAAAUUCUGUUAGUGCUGCACUAAAAGAAUUGUUAGUAAUAAGUCCAUGCAGCGAAGGAAGUGAACAAUUGUGGAACUGUAUUUGGGCUGAAAAUGAGUUUGGUACGGAAACCCAGAAAUGGCACGAGUUCAACAUAAACAUGAAUUAGAAUUUUAGUGGGGGAUCAAGUCAAGUCUGGAAGUGUUACAGGAUGGAAGAGUGAGCCUACAGUUGAAAAACACUGAAAGUGCAUUACCAUUAAGGUAUGAGGUAAAGUAAUAGAGUAUGCAAAUUGUCUAAUGAGAAGUACCAUCUUGUGUGAAUGAAUCCUGUGUAACAGCAAUCCUUUAUAGUUCUGUCACAGCUAGAAGCCUCAAAUAAUUCUGCUUCUCUUGCUAAAGAACAACUUGUCCUUUACGUUCAGAGUG